UGAGUAAUGCCUAGGAAUCUGCCUGGUAGUGGGGGACAACGUUUCGAAAGGAACGCUAAUACCGCAUACGUCCUACGGGAGAAAGCAGGGACCUUCGGGCCUUGCGCUAUCAGAUGAGCCUAGGUCGGAUUAGCUAGUUGGUGAGGUAAUGGCUCACCAAGGCGACGAUCCGUAACUGGUCUGAGAGGAUGAUCAGUCACACUGGAACUGAGACACGGUCCAGACUCCUACGGGAGGCAGCAGAC
RNAcentral lists this ribosomal RNA (245 nucleotides) under uncultured Pseudomonas sp. RNAcentral describes it as "partial 16S ribosomal RNA". It matches the Rfam family "Bacterial small subunit ribosomal RNA", at positions 107 to 354 of the family's 1533-position model. Lineage: Bacteria; Pseudomonadati; Pseudomonadota; Gammaproteobacteria; Pseudomonadales; Pseudomonadaceae. The record is from RNAcentral.